RNAcentral lists this long non-coding RNA (209 nucleotides) under Vitis vinifera (wine grape). RNAcentral's name for it is "long non-coding RNA (VVIN_LNC007030)". Lineage: Eukaryota; Viridiplantae; Streptophyta; Magnoliopsida; Vitales; Vitaceae. The record is from RNAcentral.
AAAGGUAUCUUAUGGUCACGGUCAAUUCAUUAAUCGAGACUAAAUGUAGGUAUAUGGUCACGAUAAUUAAGUGACUGUGACUAAUUGUUAGGUCUAUUAUGACAAAAUGUACACUUAUGGUCACAACUAUUAAUGACCGUGACUAAAAUUAAUCAUAUGAUGUUCGCCCUAUCCCCAAAUUUUGGUGAUGGUUCAUUAUUGAUCGUGAC